GAGACGUAGCUAACGUUACAGAUGGAUGCUGUUCUGACGCGGGUGCCUGGGUCAGAUAUGGUCUGUUUCCCUACCACCGGGACCUGGAGUAAAGUGCUGGCCGGGUUCGGUUUGCUGUAAUGAUGGUGGCUGGCUGCUAGCUGGCUAGGGGCUAACAGUAACCACAUGUCCCGUGGCUGCUGUAAGCUGUCAUCCCGACUGAAGUCUUUCUGCACCGGGGGAGUGAGGCAGACGGACCGGGGUGUGCUAUCUGGCUAAAUUAGCAUUACAUUAGGCGUCUAUCUAGACAGCUAACGUUACUGGUGAACUUAUUUGUGGGUUAGCCCAGUGCUG
Molecule: long non-coding RNA, 333 nt
Organism: Etheostoma spectabile (orangethroat darter)
Lineage: Eukaryota; Metazoa; Chordata; Actinopteri; Perciformes; Percidae
Exons: 2
Source: RefSeq, a predicted model, not a curated record